This 70-nucleotide transfer RNA is filed under the name Hyla arborea (European tree frog). RNAcentral's name for it is "tRNA-Tyr". It matches the Rfam family "tRNA". From Rfam's summary of the family: Transfer RNA (tRNA) molecules are approximately 80 nucleotides in length. Lineage: Eukaryota; Metazoa; Chordata; Amphibia; Anura; Hylidae. The record is from RNAcentral.
GGUAAGAUGGCCGAAUGCCAGGCGGUGGGUUGUAGCCCCAAUAAUGUAGGUUAAAUUCCUACUCUUACCA